GGGCCGUCUGAGCAGUGAUCCAGUGACAGUCGAAAGCUGAUUCUUCAGUCUUUAUGCUACAGAACUUCCAUGUGAUCUGGGGAGAGUGGAGAGAAAGAAAGGGGGAGAGGAAAAGAGAAACAUCAAUAUGAGAAAGAAACACCCAUUGGUUGCCUCCCUCUACGUGCCCAGACUGGGGACUGAAGCCUUAACCUAGGACUCAUGAAUCCUAAGCCUCACUCUUCACAAACCAGCUGUGAGACUUCAGUCAUGAAACUGGUUAUGAUCAUAAAUCCAUGGUUCAUCCUUUAUCCUUUUUAGUGGAAGCUUUAUAGACUGGAUUGUACCCUGCCAAAGAAGAAAACUGAAGCAUCUGACAGCAGAAAAAUUUAAGAAAACUUCAGUGAGAAAAAAGACAUUGCACAAACCAUCAUUUCUAAACACCUCAUUCUACCACUGAGGUUCAUAUAGGUGGUUUAACUUGUCCAAAAUUAUACAACUAUCCAAUGGCUUCUGGGAAAGUAAGCUGUGCUCAACCUUUAUAGCUCACAUCACACAGAGUUUCAAGCAUUUGAUUUUCCUGGUUCAUGACAUCAGCCACAUGACUGUGAUAAAAUCACCUCUGUUAGAGAUGUGAGGAGACAUAGAGGUACUAAGAAGAAUGUCAGGUGUUAGGAUCUAUGUCCUUAAGUCCACCCAACAUUUUCUUCUUUCAUUGGACACCUACUAUGCUUCAGAUACUUGGUUAAGGCCUGGGGUUACCUAGACAAAAUACAUGACCUCUGCUUUCAAAGAGCAUGCAGUUUCCUGAGGGCAGAUAAAUAAAUUCUAAUCCAGUAUCAUAAUGCUCCUAUCUUUUGCUCCUGGCAUGUGAUCACUUACAAAGCAAUGGCUGCUUUUCCCAGGAAGAAAACAUCAGCCGCAGUAGAAGCAGCAGCAACAGCCAAUCACGGAAUCAUCAAGUGAAGAGGCACUAACAGCUUUGCUUCCCAACUAAGGAACAUCUUAUCCAAUUCCCCUCCCACCCACCAUCACCACUUGUAGGUUUGGAACCAAGAAAGGCUGUGGAAACUAAAGAUAAUGUGCUAAUAGGAUACUAAAGCAAAACCACCCUUACAUCCCACUCCCCAGAGGUGGUUUGUGUAAACACAUUAUUCUAGAGUACUGUUUCAUUUUAUGACUUCAGCUGCUGGCAUUUUGCUAGGUUUAAAAGUGUUGAUUAUCCAGGAAACUCAGUGAUACCUUUUGGCAAAGGGCUCAAAGCAGUCAGAUCAACUUAUCUCACUGUGUUUUUCUUGUCAAAAUAUUAGACUUUUGGUUUUAUUGGAAACUCACAUGAAGUCUCCUUUUCAAUAAAUAACCUGAGAUUGCAUUUAAAAUUAAGUAGGAGAGGAAGACUGGAAAUCAGAAGAACUAGGAUUUGGUCCUGAAUUUACUACUUAUUACUUGCAACCCUUGGACAAGUCCAUUUACCUAUGGGCUUUCUCUUCUUUCUUUCCUUUUCUUUUUUGUUUUUUUUUGUCAAAUUACUUUUAUUUUAUUAUUUUCUGUUUAUUUUUCUUAAUCUUUGUAAUAAGAAGAGUGGACUAAAUUAUCCCUUAGGUCUCAAACACUUCAGGCACUGUACAUAUUCAAAAUUUGGUUACUUCAUUUCAGAGAAUUCUUAUUGAAUGUGUAUCAUGUGCCAGUUCUGCAGUAGGCACUGGGGGAAAGAUGAAAGCCACAACUCUCUUCAAGCAGCCCACAGACUCACUAGAGUCAAGCAGUUACACAGUGAGUUCAGAAGGAGGCGUGGGAUCCAGAGGUGGGCAUGAGAGGCUGUGAGGCACACAAGAAAAGCACUGUGUCCCUCCUGAUGAUCCCUCCCGAUGCUUCUUCACUGAAGAGGAUCAGAACAUGGCACCUUAAAAUAUGUCACUCUGGCCUAGCAAUUGUUUUCGGCUGAAAGCACUUGAGGAAGAGUAGUAGCUGUAAGGAGGGCUUCCCUUUCUCCCCUUUCUUCCUUAAAAGUAGGACGCAAAUUUCCCGUGAGAAGGGUGUCCUCUCUGUGCAAGAAAGAGGUGAACACUCAACACCCACAAUGGCGAGAUUACACCAAAAUGAAUUUGUACAAAGAAGCCUACUAAAAUAUCCCUUUUCUUCCAUUUGUUUUACCCAUAUAUUUCCCGGUUACUUUCCUAUCAUUCACCACCCCAGCCCAGAUCCUUUUUGCCUUGUAUUGUCUCGUAUUCUCAAUUUAUUGUUCUUUUUGGAAAUGGUAUUUAAGUUCUCAAGUCUAUAUACUUCUUUUGGUCUUCAUUUCUUUUCUAUGAAAGCUCCUGUAUCAUGUUCAAAUACUAACAUCCAAUAAAAUUUGCACGCUUUUCUCCUAUUAAUCAGACUGUUGUCAGCAUAAUUCUCAGGUCCAGCCACAGAAUUUGAAAAGUCUUUCCUCC
Molecule: long non-coding RNA, 2414 nt
Organism: Artibeus jamaicensis (Jamaican fruit-eating bat)
Lineage: Eukaryota; Metazoa; Chordata; Mammalia; Chiroptera; Phyllostomidae
Exons: 4
Source: RefSeq, a predicted model, not a curated record